CCUACGGGUGGCAGCAGUGGGGAAUAUUGCACAAUGGGGGAAACCCUGAUGCAGCAACGCCGCGUGGGUGACGAAGUAUUUCGGUAUGUAAAGCCCUAUCUGCCGGGAAGAGAAUGACGGUACCUGACUACGAAGCCCCGGCUAACAACGUGCCACCAGCCGCGGUAAUACGUCGGGGGCAAGCGUUAUCCGGAUUUACUGGGUGUAAAGGGAGCGUAGAGGGUUGUGCAAGUCUGAAGUGAAAGCCCGCGGCUCAACUGCGGAACGGCUGUGGAAACUGUGUAACUGGAGUGGUGGAGAGGUAAGCGGAAUUCGUGGUGUAGCGGUGAAAUGCGUAGAGAUCAGGAGGAACACCGACGGCGAAGGCAGCUUACUGGACAGUAACUGACGUUGAGGCUCGAAAGCGUGGGGAGCGAACAGGAUUAGAUACCCCGGUAGUC
Molecule: ribosomal RNA, 440 nt
Filed under: uncultured bacterium
Lineage: Bacteria
Description: partial 16S ribosomal RNA
Rfam family: Bacterial small subunit ribosomal RNA
Source: RNAcentral